GGGGGCAGAGUGACAGGUGGUGCAUGGUUGUCGUCAGCUCGUGUCGUGAGAUGUUGGGUUAAGUCCCGCAACGAGCGCAACCCUUGAUCUUAGUUGCCAGCAUUCAGUUGGGCACUCUAAGGUGACUGCCGGUGACAAACCGGAGGAAGGUGGGGAUGACGUCAAAUCAUCAUGCCCCUUAUGACCUGGGCUACACACGUGCUACAAUGGACAGAACAAAGGGCAGCGAAACCGCGAGGUUAAGCCAAUCCCACAAAUCUGUUCUCAGUUCGGAUCGCAGUCUGCAACUCGACUGCGUGAAGCUGGAAUCGCUAGUAAUCGCGGAUCAGCAUGCCGCGGUGAAUACGUUCCCGGGCCUUGUACACACCGCCCGUCACACCACGAGAGUUUGUAACACCCGAAGUCGGUGAGGUAACCUUUAUGGAGCCAGCCGCCGNAAGGNNGGACAGAUGAUUGG
This 457-nucleotide ribosomal RNA is filed under the name Bacillus subtilis. RNAcentral describes it as "bacterial SSU rRNA". It matches the Rfam family "Bacterial small subunit ribosomal RNA", at positions 1022 to 1478 of the family's 1533-position model. Lineage: Bacteria; Bacillati; Bacillota; Bacilli; Caryophanales; Bacillaceae. The record is from RNAcentral.